RNAcentral lists this long non-coding RNA (1093 nucleotides) under Homo sapiens (human). The record is from RNAcentral. Lineage: Eukaryota; Metazoa; Chordata; Mammalia; Primates; Hominidae.
GGCGGGGUUGGCUCUAACGAAUUUGAAUGAGGAGCCUCAGCGCUUUCGGCGCCAUUUUCGAGUGAUGCCUGAUCUCAUCAAUCUAGCGGGAGAGACAGGAUAACCUGUCCGAGAGUAUAGCGCCACUAUGACUCCGCCGGAAAAAUUACUUUAAAAAUCGCCAAAAAUUACUUGGAGCAAAGGGCAGUCGGCGGAGCUUCGCCAAGGCUGGCGCAGUCGGUUUUGACCUGUAGCAGAGAACCAAUUCUGGAGAACAGCCUCACUUCUUUGAUUGAAUACUUACAUAAUGCAUUGGAACAUGACAUGAGAUUAAGGUUUAAUAAUGAUAGAAUGAAGACCACAAUAAAAGAGACCUCUACUUAGCUCAGCAAUUCUUACCUUGUGUAAAUUUUGAUACCACCAUUGCCGCCUUCCCCUCAAAAAAGGUGAGAACUGACUAAACUACUGGUACUUAGACCAUGUGGAGAAGGAACUGAAAAUGGAAACAGAAACACGUCUGUACAGAGCAGAGUGUCAGAUAAUAGCUCAUUUUAGUAGAGGGCAAUAAAUGCCACAUGAGAUGAUCACCUCAGCAGAAAACUGUAAGUAACUGGGGACUUACAGGAGAAUUGAACAGUUGUUUCUGCUGACUCAGUAAAAAGUCUUCAUUUUAUAAUUUGUGGCCUGCAUGCUUGUAAAUUAAAAUGCAUUGAGUUGUCAAGUAAUGGACUUGUCUGGUUUGUAGGUAGGAAUUUAAGCCAAAAUUGAAUGCAACAUUCCCCCAGAAGUAACCUGGGAUCUGUGCCAUAAAACCUAAGGCAAAGGUUACAUGAAUUUGUAUUACUAGGUUAGAACUAGGCUAUUGAGCCUUUGCCUAGAAAACCAAUUAGAGGAUUUUGGUCUUGAUAUAGCAGGGAAUAGGGAGGCAUUAUAGCCUAUUGAUUUGUUUGGAAUUAAAUGUGGCAAUACUAUAUAUAGAAAUGUCUAAGAAAUAAAAUAUGGUAGCAAGGAAACUGGGCAUGUGACUACUGUAGUAAUCUAGGGGUGAAGAAACCUGAACAGCAAUAGUGGCAGGAGAAUGGAGGUGAAAGAAUAAAUUUAAGAUAUUUCAAAG